This 650-nucleotide ribosomal RNA is filed under the name uncultured Bacillota bacterium. RNAcentral's name for it is "bacterial SSU rRNA". It matches the Rfam family "Bacterial small subunit ribosomal RNA", at positions 8 to 631 of the family's 1533-position model. Lineage: Bacteria; Bacillati; Bacillota. The record is from RNAcentral.
AGAGUUUGAUCCUGGCUCAGGAUGAACGCUGGCGGCGUGCCUAACACAUGCAAGUCGAGCGUGAUUAAGUGGAGUGGAGACUUCGGUCAAAGCAAAACUUAUGAAAGCGGCGGACGGGUGAGUAACGCGUGGGUAACCUGCCCCAUACAAAGGGAUAGCCACUGGAAACGGUGAUUAAUACCUUAUAAGUCGGUAGUCUCGCAUGAGACAGCCGACAAAGAUUUAUCGGUAUGGGAUGGACCCGCGUCUGAUUAGCUAGUUGGUGAGGUAACGGCUCACCAAGGCGACGAUCAGUAGCCGACCUGAGAGGGUGAUCGGCCACACUGGAACUGAGACACGGUCCAGACUCCUACGGGAGGCAGCAGUAGGGAAUUGUUCGCAAUGGGCGCAAGCCUGACGACGCAACGUCGCGUGGAGGAUGAAGGGCUUCGGCUCGUAAACUCCUUUCGACCGAGAUGAACAUCUACGGGGUUAAUACCCCUGUGGACUGACAGUAUCGAGGGAAGAAGCCCCGGCUAACUCCGUGCCAGCAGCCGCGGUAAUACGGGGGGGGCAAGCGUUGUUCGGAAUUACUGGGCGUAAAGGGUUCGUAGGUGGCCAACUAAGUCAUGCGUGAAAUCCCUCAGCUUAACUGGGGAACUGCGUUUGAU